CAACAGCCCCUGCUGGAGGCUCCAAUGCUCUUCCUGGGAUCAACUGCUCCUAGAAGAGAAGCAGGACCCUCUGUCACCCCCAACCCCACCUUGACUGUCACCAAAGAAGAAGCCAGAGAAGGGAGCCCCCCACUACUGUGGCCUAGGAGCUUGGAAGACAAUGCUGAGACAGACAUCUGAGCUGUGGGCUCCCCAAAUCUGCCAGCAAAGGACUCUCAAGGAUGGAUCAGGAAUAGAAGCUCCGGAGCCCGGGACAUAGGAACAGCUCUACUUUCCCUUUCAUUUCAUUCAAUAAAACCCAAAAGAAACUCCUUCCUCCCCCUCCUCCGAGGGGAAUCCAAAAGAUAAAGAUGGCAGGGAACCAAUGACAGAUCAGUCAAUCACAUAAUCUUAAAAGGCACUUCUGCAGUCCCACCCCAACCCCACGCACCAACACCAGAACCCUAGCAUGGAAUAUAAGCCUGAUCCCCCACACCCGGUCUUAGAACCGUGACCCAACCUGGAGCCUGAGGCCAACCCCUGCAGACAAGGACUCAGUGACCAAGGAGCUGCAAACAACCCAGCCAAGCAGGGAGCAGACUUAGAGGACACCACACUCCCCUCCCCUCCCUGAUGCCAAAGAAGCAUGGUACUCAGACAUUUUAAGGGAGGGCAUUUUCUGGGGCAUCAGGGGUUAAAGGGUUGUCAGUCCUGACUGCUGAGGCCCAGAGUACCCCCCACCUCUGGACUUCUAGGCAGACUUUGUGUGAGCA
This 752-nucleotide long non-coding RNA is filed under the name Homo sapiens (human). RNAcentral's name for it is "HSALNT0240662". Lineage: Eukaryota; Metazoa; Chordata; Mammalia; Primates; Hominidae. The record is from RNAcentral.